AAUGUUCUGAUGGUUAAAUCAGCAGUAGUUUGUUUAAAAGGAUCUUCAUAUAAUAAAGACAUAGCUUCAAAGAACUCAUCUAAUGAAUCUAAUAUGGGAUCAUCAUUUUCCAAAAAGGAAUGGGCCCAGGCCAUAGGUUCACCUCUUAAAAAAGAGAUCACUGAACAGACUUUGGAUCUUUCGGUGGGAUAAGAUCUAGGUUUUAAAGCAAUUAGUAGUUUGCAAGAAUUCAAAAACUCUCUGUACUUUGUUCUAUCUCCA
Non-coding RNA from Pelobates cultripes (western spadefoot toad), 261 nucleotides. The record is from the annotation of a GenBank genome assembly. NCBI's taxonomy places the organism in Eukaryota, Metazoa, Chordata, Amphibia, Anura, Pelobatidae.